CCAGGGGUUGUGGCCACCUGGGGACCCAGGCCCUGCGUUCCCAGGGUGACCCAGGGUCCUGGGGUUCAGGGUUUAUUUUUAGAGCUCAUGACACUGCCCAACGCUGGGGCUGGGGGUGGUUGACGGAGGGCCCUCCCCGGUCAUCCUGGGCCAGCUGAACGGGCCACUGCUGGGGCUCAGGAGCCCUCAGCGACCCUGCAGCAGAGCUGGCCUGGGGCGGCCAGUCUGGGUGGGCUGGUGGGAUCCGGGAAGGGCUUGCCAAGAGGGCCCCUCCCUGCGCCCUCACUGGGCUCGGAGUGGGCUUGGCUCUGGAAGCAGAGGCCCCACAGCUCCAGGCGCGGCAGGGCUGGGUGGAAGCAGGAGUGAAGGAGGGAGCCAACGUGGUCUGAGGGUCGUCCAGCUCCGCUCACCUCCCGGCUGGUGAGACUUGGCACCCAGGGGAACGCUUACCCAGCCCCAGAUGUGCUCCGGGCCCACCUGUCCGCGGGGUCGGGGUUGGACCCCGUGCCGCGGCCUUCCCAGCCAGCCUCUCAGCCAGGCUGCCCAGGCACAGUCCCUCAGGUGUCCCGCCCCCAGGCCUGCCCCGGCCACUCCCCAGCCCAGGACUGACCCCACUGGCAGCUCUGUCCUCCAGCCCUGACUGCCCAGCCCUGACCGCUGUCCUUCCCCUGGUUUAACCCCCAUCCUAUCAGCCCCACCCAGGGCGUCCCCUUCACUCCCGCAGCCGAGCCCCCUUCAGUCCUUGCCUUGGCUUGGAGGCCCCCACAGGCCAGCACGCCCCAGGCUCAGCCCCCUGAUCCCUGGAUGCCACUGUCUGUGCAAGGGAGAUUGGUCUCCACUCAGGCUGGCACACUUUGGUGACCUAGGUGGGAGCUUGCACAGGUGCCUGGGCCUGGGGACCCAGGAGCACUGGUGGCGGGAUCUGCAGUGGAGCAUAGGGGCUUCCCCUGUGGAGACCACCUGCUCCCAACAGCUCAUUCUGGCCUCACAAACCUAAUCUUCUGUGCUGCCUGGAGUCAGAUUGGGGUCCUGCCCUGUGGGCCCAGGAGCCCAGCCCUGAAUGUGCCUCUGCUGGGCAAUAGCCCAGCCCAGACUCUGCAGCCGCUGGUGCCCUGGUCAGCUGCCCACGCCCUUAGCGUCUUGAAAGCCGCCAACACAGGGCUUGCUCUGGCCCCGGCUUCGUGCCCCAGUCCACCAUGUGGUCGCUGUUGGUCAGGACCCUUCCCGUGGCCUCCCGGGCACCUCGGGCAGCCCGGGGAUCAGGGGCUCUGCCUUCACAAUUCAGGAUCAGCUCAGGGCAGGCUCACAGUGCAGGGUGGGGACAACCGGUCCACCCAGACCCCUGACCUUCCUGGAAAACCAUCCGUCUCCGUGGGCCCCUGCAGAGACAGCCGUCCUCCGCGCUGCCAUGUGUUCCUGGAGCCUCUCCAAGACAAUCGCACCAGCUCCCUUGUGGGCCACAAAGGUCCUUUGACGGUGGCGGCCGGAGCUAAACCCACAGUUGGGGUGAGGAGG
This 1515-nucleotide long non-coding RNA is filed under the name Equus caballus (horse). Its description in RNAcentral is "lncRNA (ENSECAG00000050797.1)". The record is from RNAcentral. Lineage: Eukaryota; Metazoa; Chordata; Mammalia; Perissodactyla; Equidae.